This 213-nucleotide long non-coding RNA is filed under the name Elaeis guineensis (African oil palm). RNAcentral describes it as "long non-coding RNA (EGUI_LNC037451)". The record is from RNAcentral. Lineage: Eukaryota; Viridiplantae; Streptophyta; Magnoliopsida; Arecales; Arecaceae.
AUUUUCCCUCCUAUUUCUUCCUCCUUUCCCCACCGAACCCAUCUCCCGCUGAUUCCUUUCCCUCUCUCCCUCUUCGUCCCUUGGCUCUUUCACUCCCUCUCUCCCUCUCUCACCGUCAAUCCUCAUCGCUGCCGCCGCUGCUCGCCGCCCCCACCGUUGACUCCUCUGCUCUGCUCCGCCUCCACACCGCACGUCGACCAUCCUGCUCUGCUU